RNAcentral lists this ribosomal RNA (390 nucleotides) under Cronobacter sakazakii. RNAcentral describes it as "bacterial SSU rRNA". It matches the Rfam family "Bacterial small subunit ribosomal RNA", at positions 568 to 957 of the family's 1533-position model. Lineage: Bacteria; Pseudomonadati; Pseudomonadota; Gammaproteobacteria; Enterobacterales; Enterobacteriaceae. The record is from RNAcentral.
CACGCAGGCGGUCUGUUAAGUCAGAUGUGAAAUCCCCGGGCUCAACCUGGGAACUGCAUUUGAAACUGGCAGGCUUGAGUCUCGUAGAGGGGGGUAGAAUUCCAGGUGUAGCGGUGAAAUGCGUAGAGAUCUGGAGGAAUACCGGUGGCGAAGGCGGCCCCCUGGACGAAGACUGACGCUCAGGUGCGAAAGCGUGGGGAGCAAACAGGAUUAGAUACCCUGGUAGUCCACGCCGUAAACGAUGUCGACUUGGAGGUUGUGCCCUUGAGGCGUGGCUUCCGGAGCUAACGCGUUAAGUCGACCGCCUGGGGAGUACGGCCGCAAGGUUAAAACUCAAAUGAAUUGACGGGGGCCCGCACAAGCGGUGGAGCAUGUGGUUUAAUUCGAUGC